CCCUGGUGGCUCAGAUGGUAAAGAGUCUGCCUGCAAUGCAGGAGACCCAGGUUCGAUCCCUGGAUCAGGAA
RNAcentral lists this transfer RNA (71 nucleotides) under Bos taurus (domestic cattle). It matches the Rfam family "tRNA". From Rfam's summary of the family: Transfer RNA (tRNA) molecules are approximately 80 nucleotides in length. Their secondary structure includes four short double-helical elements and three loops (D, anti-codon, and T loops). The record is from Rfam by way of RNAcentral. Lineage: Eukaryota; Metazoa; Chordata; Mammalia; Artiodactyla; Bovidae. RNAcentral also lists the same sequence under 3 other names.